RNAcentral lists this ribosomal RNA (536 nucleotides) under uncultured bacterium. Its description in RNAcentral is "partial 16S ribosomal RNA". It matches the Rfam family "Bacterial small subunit ribosomal RNA", at positions 355 to 881 of the family's 1533-position model. The record is from RNAcentral.
UGGGGAAUUUUGGACAAUGGGCGAAAGCCUGAUCCAGCAAUGCCGCGUGUGUGAAGAAGGCCUUCGGGUUGUAAAGCACUUUUGUCCGGAAAGAAAUCCUUGGCUCUAAUACAGUCGGGGGAUGACGGUACCGGAAGAAUAAGCACCGGCUAACUACGUGCCAGCAGCCGCGGUAAUACGUAGGGUGCAAGCGUUAAUCGGAAUUACUGGGCGUAAAGCGUGCGCAGGCGGUUUGCUAAGACCGAUGUGAAAAUCCCCGGGCUCAACCUGGGAACUGCAUUGGUGACUGGCAGGCUAGAGUAUGGCAGAGGGGGGUAGAAUUCCACGUGUAGCAGUGAAAUGCGUAGAGAUGUGGAGGAAUACCGAUGGCGAAGGCAGCCCCUGGCCAAGUACUGACGCUCAUGCACGAAAAGCGUGGGGAGCAAAACAGGAUUAGAUACCCUGGUAGUCCACGCCCUAAAACGAUGUCAACUAGUUGUUGGGGAUUCAUUUCCUUAGUAACGUAGCUAACGCGUGAAGUUGACCGCCUGGGGAGU